CCUACGGGAGGCAGCAGUGAGGAAUAUUGGUCAAUGGGCGAGAGCCUGAACCAGCCAAGUCGCGUGAAGGAUGACGGCCCUACGGGUUGUAAACUUCUUUUGUCAGGGAGCAAUUGGGUCCACGCGUGGGCUUAUCGAGAGUACCUGCAGAAAAAGCAUCGGCUAACUCCGUGCCAGCAGCCGCGGUAAUACGGAGGAUGCGAGCGUUAUCCGGAUUUACUGGGUGUAAAGGGAGCGUAGACGGCAGCGCAAGUCUGGAGUGAAAUCCCAUGGCUUAACCAUGGAACUGCUUGGGAAACUGUGCGGCGAGAGAGCAGGAGAGGUAAGCGGAAUGCCUGGUGUAGCGGUGAAAUGCGUAGAUAUUAGGAGGAACACCAGUGGCGAAGGCGGCUUACUGGACUGUAACUGACGUUGAGGCUCGAAAGCGUGGGGAGCAAACAGGAUUAGAUACCCUUGUAGUC
RNAcentral lists this ribosomal RNA (461 nucleotides) under uncultured bacterium. Its description in RNAcentral is "partial 16S ribosomal RNA". It matches the Rfam family "Bacterial small subunit ribosomal RNA", at positions 338 to 795 of the family's 1533-position model. The record is from RNAcentral.